RNAcentral lists this ribosomal RNA (728 nucleotides) under uncultured Acidovorax sp. RNAcentral's name for it is "bacterial SSU rRNA". It matches the Rfam family "Bacterial small subunit ribosomal RNA", at positions 20 to 745 of the family's 1533-position model. The record is from RNAcentral. Lineage: Bacteria; Pseudomonadati; Pseudomonadota; Betaproteobacteria; Burkholderiales; Comamonadaceae.
UGGCUCAGAUUGAACGCUGGCGGCAUGCCUUACACAUGCAAGUCGAACGGUAACAGCUCUUCGGAGGCUGACGAGUGGCGAACGGGUGAGUAAUACAUCGGAACGUGCCCGAUCGUGGGGGAUAACGAAGCGAAAGCUUUGCUAAUACCGCAUACGAUCUACGGAUGAAAGCAGGGGACCCUCGGGCCUUGCGCGAACGGAGCGGCCGAUGGCAGAUUAGGUAGUUGGUGGGAUAAAAGCUUACCAAGCCGACGAUCUGUAGCUGGUCUGAGAGGACGACCAGCCACACUGGGACUGAGACACGGCCCAGACUCCUACGGGAGGCAGCAGUGGGGAAUUUUGGACAAUGGGCGAAAGCCUGAUCCAGCAAUGCCGCGUGCAGGAUGAAGGCCUUCGGGUUGUAAACUGCUUUUGUACGGAACGAAAAGCYUCGGGAUAAUACCCCGGGGCCAUGACGGUACCGUAAGAAUAAGCACCGGCUAACUACGUGCCAGCAGCCGCGGUAAUACGUAGGGUGCAAGCGUUAAUCGGAAUUACUGGGCGUAAAGCGUGCGCAGGCGGUUAUGUAAGACAGAUGUGAAAUCCCCGGGCUCAACCUGGGAACUGCAUUUGUGACUGCAUAGCUAGAGUGCGGCAGAGGGGGAUGGAAUUCCGCGUGUAGCAGUGAAAUGCGUAGAUAUGCGGAGGAACACCGAUGGCGAAGGCAAUCCCCUGGGCCUGCACUGACG